AACAUGCUCUGAUACCAUUUGUUGACGAAAACUCCAAGAAUCGUGGAUCUGGGCUUAGUUUACUCACCAAACAAACAUCAAUCGAGCUCGACUUGACCCACAGCAAAACCACAUUUCACUUGCCACAUGCUUUCUCACCCAGAAAGGAUGAUGGUUGUGGGGAUUGCAGCCACUAAGGAAGAUGAAAAACAAAAAGAAACUAUGGUAAUCACUCAACCAUGAAAUCUUGC
RNAcentral lists this long non-coding RNA (230 nucleotides) under Olea europaea (common olive). Its description in RNAcentral is "long non-coding RNA (OEUR_LNC004292)". Lineage: Eukaryota; Viridiplantae; Streptophyta; Magnoliopsida; Lamiales; Oleaceae. The record is from RNAcentral.